RNAcentral lists this antisense RNA (75 nucleotides) under Streptomyces yokosukanensis. RNAcentral describes it as "ASpks TB sRNA". It matches the Rfam family "ASpks TB sRNA". The record is from Rfam by way of RNAcentral. Lineage: Bacteria; Bacillati; Actinomycetota; Actinomycetes; Kitasatosporales; Streptomycetaceae.
CUUCAGGGAGCCGAGCCACAGCGGCCGGCCCUCGGGGCGGUCCUGGCCGUACGUGGCCAGCAGUGCCUGGGCCUC